Molecule: long non-coding RNA, 500 nt
Filed under: Microcebus murinus (gray mouse lemur)
Lineage: Eukaryota; Metazoa; Chordata; Mammalia; Primates; Cheirogaleidae
Description: lncRNA (ENSMICG00000048488.1)
Source: RNAcentral
GGAUCACGCUGAUCCCACUUCGUUCGGUUCACAUCAAUUUUACGCGCCGCUGGAGCCGGCAUAAUUUUCCGUGUGAACGCGGACUCGGGCCCCUGUUCCUGUUUAGAGCCGUAGAAGGAGUCGCGAGGUGCCCGCCGGGGCUGAGGCCGCCGGGGUGGGCGGGGAGCACGUCCCUCCGAGCCCCGAGGGGACUGUGAUUGCCAUUUAACUCCGAAGGGAGGCCGCCUCCCCCCAGAGUGAUACUAACAGGGAAAUGAAGAUGGGACAUACAAACUUUGGUGAAUAAAGGAUUCUACCAUACACAAGCAAAUACAUGAAACUGGAUGCAACAAUACCAGGAGGCAUGGGAGAGGAGUAGGCAUUGUUCUCAGGAGGGCUUCUAUCCUUUCCACAGGGAAAAUAAAGGGAGGAAACUAAUGCCAAGAUACAGCCCAGUAUUGAGCACUUGGCACUAGACUGAGCUGAGUCAAAUGUUUAAAACUCCACUCAAUGGCCAUGUG